RNAcentral lists this transfer RNA (72 nucleotides) under Tupanvirus deep ocean. RNAcentral describes it as "tRNA-Val". It matches the Rfam family "tRNA". From Rfam's summary of the family: Transfer RNA (tRNA) molecules are approximately 80 nucleotides in length. Lineage: Varidnaviria; Bamfordvirae; Nucleocytoviricota; Megaviricetes; Imitervirales; Mimiviridae. RNAcentral also lists the same sequence under 1 other name. The record is from RNAcentral.
GGUGUAUUAUUUCAAUGGCAGAAUAUCCGUUUCACAUGCGGAUGACACAGGUUCGAUUCCUGUAUACACCAC